UCUAAUCGAAAUGUCUUUUUGAAACCAAAAUAAAAUAAAAAGUUUAUACAACUUUCAGCAACGGAUUCUCUUGGCUCUCGCAUCGAUGAAAGAAACGCAGCGAAAUUGCGAUACGUAAAUGUGAAAUUGCAGAUUUUCAGUGAAUCAUCGAAUCUUUGA
This 159-nucleotide ribosomal RNA is filed under the name Meruliporia incrassata. Its description in RNAcentral is "5.8S ribosomal RNA". The stretch from base 50 to 159 matches the Rfam family "5.8S ribosomal RNA", at positions 1 to 103 of the family's 154-position model. From Rfam's summary of the family: 5.8S ribosomal RNA (5.8S rRNA) is a component of the large subunit of the eukaryotic ribosome. The record is from RNAcentral. Lineage: Eukaryota; Fungi; Basidiomycota; Agaricomycetes; Boletales; Coniophoraceae.